AGACCUGUGCAGGCUUCAGCUGAUGGGGGUGCAGUGCAGUAGCUGUUUAUCAUGCUUCACUUAUCCUGAUCACUGGUUUAAGCUGCACCACCAGGG
This 96-nucleotide microRNA precursor is filed under the name Columba livia (rock pigeon). RNAcentral's name for it is "microRNA cli-mir-1550 precursor". The record is from miRBase by way of RNAcentral. Lineage: Eukaryota; Metazoa; Chordata; Aves; Columbiformes; Columbidae.